UGGGGGAUAUUGCACAAUGGGCGAAAGCCUGAUGCAGCGACGCCGCGUGGGGGAUGAAGGCCUUCGGGUUGUAAACUUCUUGUGCUCUGAACAAGGCAUGCCUUUGGGGUGUGUUGAGUGUAGGGGUUGAUUAGCGCCGGCUAACUACGUGCCAGCAGCCGCGGUAAUACGUAGGGCGCGAGCGUUGUCCGGAAUUAUUGGGCGUAAAGGGCUUGUAGGUGGCUGGUUGCGUCUGUCGUGAAAGCUCAUGGCUUAACUGUGGGUUUGCGGUGGGUACGGGCUGGCUUGAGUGCAGUAGGGGAGGCUGGAAUUCCUGGUGUAGCGGUGGAAUGCGCAGAUAUCAGGAGGAAUACCGGUGGCGAAGGCGGGUCUCUGGGCUGUUACUGACGCUGAGGAGCGAAAGCGUGGGGAGCGAACAGG
RNAcentral lists this ribosomal RNA (420 nucleotides) under Fusobacteriota bacterium. RNAcentral's name for it is "Fusobacteria bacterium partial 16S ribosomal RNA". It matches the Rfam family "Bacterial small subunit ribosomal RNA", at positions 355 to 776 of the family's 1533-position model. Lineage: Bacteria; Fusobacteriati; Fusobacteriota. The record is from RNAcentral.